UGUCAGGAGUUGGGGUUUUUUGUUUUGCCUUUUUUGUUUUUUUUUCAUUCCUAUGGCUUGCCAUCGCCACCAGAUGGCACCAUGGAGGCUAGGAUAGGAGGACUGAAGGGCUGACGUCACCGUCACACCGGUUCCCAAUCCACUCGUCAGCGGGACUUCAAGAGACGGCGACUGCCAGCAUACCAACGCUUGAGUGUUAGCCAGUAAUGCUGUUCCUGCAACGUCAAGUCUGGCUGUAGUCCCGAGUUUCCCUUGCGACGCCGUCUGGAUCCUAUUACCUGUCCGCCCUCCACCGCAGCACAACCUCCACCUCCAGCGCCUCCACACCUGGCCACACCGUUGUUUAUUCUCCUCCCCGAGUAAGCAUACAACUUUAGAGCUCUGGAAAAUCCCCACGGUCCCUGAACUCACCUCCCGAUCUGUUGUUGUUCCCAGAAGUCCUGACUUACCUGUCUGUCGCCGUCCCUUCGAUGACUGAGAGCCUACCCUGGAAAUCUUUUGUAAAUAAAUCACUUUAACUGAU
Molecule: long non-coding RNA, 523 nt
Organism: Xiphophorus hellerii (green swordtail)
Lineage: Eukaryota; Metazoa; Chordata; Actinopteri; Cyprinodontiformes; Poeciliidae
Exons: 2
Source: RefSeq, a predicted model, not a curated record